Molecule: ribosomal RNA, 456 nt
Filed under: Triticum aestivum (bread wheat)
Lineage: Eukaryota; Viridiplantae; Streptophyta; Magnoliopsida; Poales; Poaceae
Description: partial small subunit ribosomal RNA
Source: RNAcentral
AUGGUUUUUGUAGUGUAUGUUAUCCCCACCAUGUUGUCAUUGUCAAUAUCACACACCUUUUCCUCUAAAUGUAUCAUCAUCUGUAUCAUGGCACCACUAUCUUCUUGCUUCCGGCUUUUAGGUGGCAACCGCACCUGCCUUAGCAUAUACUCCCUCCGUCCGGGUUUAUUAGGCCUAAAGACAACUUUUCUUAGACCAAGACACAUAAUAAUUUGCUCACAUAAAUUCUUCAAUUCCACUCUCAAUGCACUCUCUCACAUGCAUGCAGCCAAUGAAAAAGCACGCAUGAAGUGUAUUAAUUUCCCAUUCAUGGCACCAACAACAAUGGCUUUCAAGGCAACCAAUGAAAUGGUUGCACGCAUGCACCUUUCCAAAGCGAGGCCUUAUAAAAAGGGACAUGCUUGUGAUGCUAAGAGGCCUAAUAAACCCGGACGGAGGGAGUACUCAUAUUCCUAG